UAGUGAUUUGUUUGCAGUCUUGUGUCGUAUAUCAUCGUUAUUAUGAUAUAUAUCAUCGAGUAGUGUUAGGCAAACUACUAGACGCGUGGAUCGAAUGUUGCGGGACUGACUAUCAUGCGAACCAAUGUCCACUGAAAUAAACAAUUAUCCUUCGACACGAAUGCUUCAUACAUCAAACGAGUUUAAAAGAGAAUCUGAAAGCGACCAUAGAAGCAACAUCCUCGACGCGUAUCAUAAUUUGUACGUGUAUAUAUGUACGCAAUAGAUGACUGUGAAUUGGUUCGCUCAUACAUGACUCGUACACAGCGCGUCUUGCAAGGGAUUACAUAGAUAUCUAUUCGCGAUUUCGUCACUCUGUUGUACAUUCGAAUGCGAACGUUCGUAGAAAGUAAACGUCCAAAUAGUGUUCAUAUUUUAAGUGAAACGCUGCUCCAUUUCUGCUUUUUAUGUCUUAUUAUAGAAGAUCCAAUUUAUAGGGCUAUUUUCUUCUUUCACGAAACGGUUAUUCAACGAUAUUGGCUAACUUGCAUAUCUAUAGCUUUCAUCGAGCUUGGUGGUUCGCGAAUCAGCGCAACGAAUUGUGUCAUUGCUUUGGCAAGCGCAUCGUCAACAAGUAAUUGAAAAUCAUACUGAACGAGUGCACUUGUGCUUGACAAGAGCCUUAUUCCGCCAAGAUAGUAGCAGUUAAAGACAUUCGUGUGUUCGACGAUGCGUGUCAAACCACCCUUUCGCCUUCCUUCCCGCUCACCUUCACUCGCGAAGUAGAAGUGGCUCCUAUUAAUUCUGCGCCCAUUGUAAGGCAGUGAAACGAAAUGCAAUAGCUACGAUGGAAAAUUUUUCACCGCCGAUACAAACACUUGUACGCACUGGAUGUAAUAUUUUUUAUAGAAAUCUUUAAUUGCGAAAUACUACAUAUAUGUGCUUCCAAUGACUCUCCAAAGAAAGAGAUACAAACGUAAGAAAUAGAAAACGUGAGAGAAAAGAAUGAGAAAAUGGAAACGAAUGUUUUUGUAGAAUGAUGUACAUAGAAAGAAUGGUUUAUCGCCAAGUAUUCGCUUUUAGAAAGUACCUGUUACAUACAAACACGUAAAGUAUUACACAUUAGAUAAUUGCGAUGAUUGAUCGAGUCACGCGAAAGAAAGUGAUUAACAUUAAUCAAGACAAUCUUAAUGUGUAUCUAUGUUGUGUCAGUCAUAUAAAAACAUUAAUUACUUUAAUCAACAAUCAGUGUUUCAUCAAUUAAUCCAGUCAAGUGUUACGUCCAAUUAAAUGUAGAAGCAAUGAACAAUGGAAACCCGGAACCUUCGCUUUACUGUAUGAAAACAUCUACCACUGGUGCGCAUAUACCGCUCUCUGGCACGAUUUUAUUUAUACUUUUAAUUGCAAUAAUCAAGUUUCGUAGAAUUUCGUGAUAAAAUUUCUACACAGGAUCAUGUUAUAAAUAUGCAUAAAAAAUCGAAAAAGUAUCUGAAUAAUAAAUUGGUAGUCGUUGUAACACUCACCAUCGACAUUGUGAAUAACACUUGCAAAAUAUCGACCUCUGACGUUCAGUUUCGUUUCGCUUGUUGAGUUGCUUACACACUGGUGAACACCCGCGUGAAAACGUAAUUCCGAAACGAUUUGUCUAGUGUCUUCUAAACACGACCAGGAACUGUUCUAGUUUAAAUGUCUCGGGAGAAUGUCGCGCGUGGUUCCAGCAUCCCCCUUCUUGUUACGUACCCCACCUGACCAGAAACCCAGUUGCGAAGGUUCGUAAGGACUCGCACGGCGAUACGGUAGAACUUUCAUUUCGGUGAACGCGAUGCAACCAUCCUUUAUACGUUUUGAAGGUGCCGCGCGCAAGGAUGACCAAUGUAUGCGCUUCAUUGUAUGCGCAAGAGUGCGUUCCUUCGGCGCGUUAUACGCGGUUGCGUCACUGCUACUACGAAAUUGUCAAAAAAUGAAGAAAUUUGAUCUUUUAACGGCGGACUGUUGUUACAUAUAAGGCGUAUCUGUGAACGUAUCAAUGUGAUUCUUUCAACUGAAAUCAUAAAUUUGCAACUACUUGGACUUUUUAUUAUAUGUCAUCGAAUGAUAUAUUGGCGUUUACGAAGUUCGAAAUCAUAUCUAAAAAAUGCAUUAUUGGCUGGUCACGUGAAAAAAUAGGGGUUCACAUCAUAGACGCCACAGGCGAUUAAUAAUCGAUAAUUCGAAGAGAUACGAAAUGACGCCAUACAUGUUUAUUAAUAAAUUCUGUUGUUGAUUUCUCAUGCAGAUUUGUUCUUCCUCUUCCUCCUGUUUCUUGAAAAGGAGCUAGCGGGGCUUCAAAAGCCAAGAAUUUUUCUUCUAUAGGUUUACAUGAUUCCUCCUUGAUGAUGGCCUUCACGACGACUUUUCCUGGGCAGCAUCGAUGUCUACGUUCC
Bombus pascuorum is the source of this 2402-nucleotide long non-coding RNA. RefSeq lists it as uncharacterized. The transcript has 6 exons. Lineage: Eukaryota; Metazoa; Arthropoda; Insecta; Hymenoptera; Apidae. The record is from RefSeq and is a predicted model, not a curated record.